GUGAACCACCUGAUCCCUUCCCGAACUCAGAAGUGAAACCUCUUUGCGCUGAUGGUAGUGUGGGGUUACCCAUGUGAGAGUAAGUCAUCGCCAGCU
RNAcentral lists this ribosomal RNA (96 nucleotides) under Acinetobacter sp. The record is from RNAcentral. RNAcentral also lists the same sequence under 1 other name. Lineage: Bacteria; Pseudomonadati; Pseudomonadota; Gammaproteobacteria; Moraxellales; Moraxellaceae.